Molecule: ribosomal RNA, 893 nt
Filed under: Oligoflexales bacterium
Lineage: Bacteria; Pseudomonadati; Bdellovibrionota; Oligoflexia; Oligoflexales
Description: partial 23S ribosomal RNA
Rfam family: Bacterial large subunit ribosomal RNA
Source: RNAcentral
UAAUAGGAAAGUAAGGGCGCAUGGCGGAUGCCUAGGCUCUUGAUAGCGACGAAGGACGCAACAUGGCGGCGAUACGUUUCGGGGAGGUGCCCAAAAACCUUUGAUCCGGAAAUUUCCGAAUGGGGAAACCCUAUAGAAUAAACUUCUAUAACUCUUACUCUAGUAAGAGAGCAGACCCAGGGAAGUGAAACAUCUCAGUACCUGGAGGAACAGAAACCAAACAGAAUUCCCUAAGUAGCGGCGAGCGAAAAGGGAGAAGCCCAAACCCGAUUCAUCACACUGGGCGUAUGUAAACUUCGGUUUAUAUAUUCGUAGUGUGAUGUGAUUGGGGGUUAUAAGAUGGCAGUGGUAUGUAAAAUACAAAAAGUUACAAAUUGUAGUGAUAGCUGAAACUUCUGGGAAGAAGUGUCGUAGAAGGUGAAAACCCUGUAAGCGAAAUUACUACAACUUUUUUUGCCAAUCUUGAGUACUCCAAGACAUGAAUAGCUUGGAGGAAUUUGCCGGAACUAACCGGUAAGGCUAAAUAUAUCAAGAGACCGAUAGUGAACUAGUACCGUGAGGGAAAGGUGAAAAGCAGUCCGGAAGGACGGUGAAAUAGACCUGAAACCAUGUGCCUACAAGGAGUCGGAGCGGAUGCAAUUUAUUGCAUACCGUCACGGCGUGCCUAUUGAAGAAUGAGCCAACGAGUUUUAGCAUGUGGCUUGGCUAAGAGGAUAAAGCCUCGGAGCCGUAGGGAAACCAAGUAUGAAUAGUGCGCUUGUCAUAUGCUAAAGACCCGAAGCCAGGUGAGCUACCCAUGAGCAGGAUGAACUUUCAAGAAGUUGAAAGGGAGGUCCGAACCGGUGAGCCGUACAAUACUCUCGGAUGACUUGUGGGUUGGAGUGAAAAGCUAA